GGGCGCUUAGCUCAGUUGGUAGAGCGUCUGCCUUACAAGCAGAAUGUCGGCGG
Molecule: transfer RNA, 53 nt
Filed under: Acinetobacter sp. ANC 4558
Lineage: Bacteria; Pseudomonadati; Pseudomonadota; Gammaproteobacteria; Moraxellales; Moraxellaceae
Rfam family: tRNA
About the family: Transfer RNA (tRNA) molecules are approximately 80 nucleotides in length. Their secondary structure includes four short double-helical elements and three loops (D, anti-codon, and T loops). Further hydrogen bonds mediate the characteristic L-shaped molecular structure. tRNAs have two regions of fundamental functional importance: the anti-codon, which is responsible for specific mRNA codon recognition, and the 3' end, to which the tRNAs corresponding amino acid is attached (by aminoacyl-tRNA synthetases). tRNAs cope with the degeneracy of the genetic code in two manners: having more than one tRNA (with a specific anti-codon) for a particular amino acid; and 'wobble' base-pairing, i.e. permitting non-standard base-pairing at the 3rd anti-codon position.
Source: Rfam by way of RNAcentral